This 497-nucleotide ribosomal RNA is filed under the name uncultured bacterium. Its description in RNAcentral is "partial 16S ribosomal RNA". It matches the Rfam family "Bacterial small subunit ribosomal RNA", at positions 28 to 507 of the family's 1533-position model. The record is from RNAcentral.
GAUGAACGCUGGCGGCGUGCCUAAUACAUGCAAGUCGAGCGAACAGACGAGGAGCUUGCUCCUCUGACGUUAGCGGCGGACGGGUGAGUAACACGUGGAUAACCUACCUAUAAGACUGGGAUAACUUCGGGAAACCGGAGCUAAUACCGGAUAAUAUAUUGAACCGCAUGGUUCAAUAGUGAAAGACGGUUUUGCUGUCACUUAUAGAUGGAUCCGCGCCGCAUUAGCUAGUUGGUAAGGUAACGGCUUACCAAGGCAACGAUGCGUAGCCGACCUGAGAGGGUGAUCGGCUACACUGGAACUGAGACACGGUACAGACUCCGACGGGAGGCAGCAGUAGGGAAUCUUCCGCGAUGGGCGAAAGCCUGACGGAGCAACGCCGCGUGAGUGAUGAAGGUCUUCGGAUCGUAAAGCUCUGUUAUUAGGGAAGAACAAAUGUGUAAGUAACUAUGCACGUCUUGACGGUACCUAAUCAGAAAGCCACGGCUAACUACGUG